Molecule: long non-coding RNA, 419 nt
Organism: Hevea brasiliensis (rubber tree)
Lineage: Eukaryota; Viridiplantae; Streptophyta; Magnoliopsida; Malpighiales; Euphorbiaceae
Exons: 2
Source: RefSeq, a predicted model, not a curated record
GAUCAGAUUUCGUUAUCACAAUGACAUUUUAACAAUAAAAAAUAUUCUCUCUUACAGCUAACGUUAACACUCGCUCUUUCUCUACAGUCUUCUUUCUCUGGUUUAUCCUCUAUAUCUAGCUCCUAGUGCCAUUUAGCUCCCCUAUUCGAAGAUCGGCUCUGCUAUCCUCGAUUUAGUGGUAGCCCUAGUGUUUUUGCAAUGCUAGGUGUUCGGACUGGAGAUGGAUUCAUCAAUUUCUCAGUGCUGGUCAAAGAGGUUUGUGCUUUAGAUGCACCCUAUGUUUUCACUGGUGUUGAUCAUUUGUGGCUCGAGUGGAUGACGAUCUAGACAGCUUCUGGAGCUUUUCUUCUUUUGGGUCAGGCUCUGUGUUGUAUAUGAUAUUUGGUUUUAAUUUAAUUUGGUGAGGCCUAUGUAUCUUA